This 292-nucleotide ribosomal RNA is filed under the name uncultured bacterium. Its description in RNAcentral is "partial 16S ribosomal RNA". It matches the Rfam family "Bacterial small subunit ribosomal RNA", at positions 505 to 796 of the family's 1533-position model. The record is from RNAcentral.
GUGUCAGCAGCCGCGGUAAUACGUAGGGGGCAAGCGUUGUCCGGAUUUAUUGGGCGUAAAGAGCGUGUAGGCGGCCAUACAGGUCCGUUGUGAAAACUGGAGGCUUAACCUCCAGACGUCGAUGGAAACCGUAUGGCUAGAGUCCGGAAGAGGAGAGUGGAAUUCCUGGUGUAGCGGUGAAAUGCGCAGAUAUCAGGAAGAACACCCGUGGCGAAGGCGGCUCUCUGGGACGGUACUGACGCUGAGACGCGAAAGCGUGGGGAGCGAACAGGAGGAUAAACCACGGGAUUAC